Long non-coding RNA from Grus americana (Whooping crane), 1541 nucleotides. RefSeq lists it as uncharacterized. Lineage: Eukaryota; Metazoa; Chordata; Aves; Gruiformes; Gruidae. The record is from RefSeq and is a predicted model, not a curated record. The transcript is spliced from 3 exons.
ACUUCAGAGUCCAUUUGUUUCCAAAGGCAGAAACAAAGCUUUUCUGCUUGAACAAUCUAAGUGCAUGUCUAAUGGAAAUACGAGCGUAUCCUAGAUGAGCACGAUAGAGCAUACUGUGUGUAUAAAACUUUGUAUAUGUAUCAGGGAAGUCUCAAAUGCUUCACCAUGUCUCCAGCAAAGCACUGAUCAACCAGACAGAGGAAAUGUCUGUGUGGCUGCCGCUGAAGCUUUAUGUACGUCAUGGAAACCCUUUAUCUAUUAUAACCAUUCUAUUAUAUUAGGGGGUACAAGCCCUGUUAGCAAUAUUUACCACACAGACAUACCAUACAAACAUACUGAAGAAAAUGCAGGACUUCUGCAUAUGCAAAAGCAUAGACUGGAUAUUUAUGCAUUUGGGUUGAAUUUGUGUAAUAGGAAAUAAUGGAAAUAUUUCACAAGGUAAAAAGCAAAUCAUAUGAUAAACCUGUCAUGACUAUUUGACAGCUUCCCCAUUUCUAAAGUUUUGAACCUAUCUAUCUCCUUUCACACUCUGAGUAAAACUUGGAAAUAAUUCAACCUCUUACUGGGGAAAAUGACCCUAACCCAAGUUUCAACAUGGACAAGUCUUGUGCAGUGGCUUUUGUUGGUAUAAAAUGAGAUAGCUGUGAUUCAGCAAUGGGAGACAUGAGAUAAAUGGCUGAUACAGAGCUCAUAAAUCAGAUGCAAAUGUGUUCCCUUCUCUGUAGAGAAACUAUACUUAGUAAUUUGCAUAAUUUUACAUUUUGAUUUUUUUAAUACUCUCUGAACCAAUAGCUUUGAUUUCUGGAUCUAUUUUAUUACUGAUACCAAAGCUGAUACCAAAGGCUUAUAUAGUUUUGGGACUCAGCCUAUACCAACUGCUACAUUUUGCAUGAAAUGGUAAAUCUCACUUAUGUAGUUUCUACCACAUCACAAAUUCUGUUCCAAGUUUUUUGCCUGUUAUCAUUUUACUUUCAUGUUGGAAUGAAAUUGUGUUAGUGAGAAAAGACUUCCACAAAAACGUAGCUGUUCCAAACAACAUGCUAGCUCCUACUCAAAAGCAUGAUCUAACAAACCUUGAUGAACCUUGUCCAAAUGAAAUCACCUGGAAAAGAUUGCAGUCAGCUGUUGGACCUCAUCAAUAAGUCACCUGACAACAGAGUCUAGGAGUUUAUAAAGGGUUGCAGCCACCCUCAUUUAACACUAUUCUCAUUAGAAAAGAGGAAGAACAGUCUUCUGGCUUGAACAAGGAUACUUUUUUUUUUGGUCUACAAGAAGAGGUCAGAAAUCAGCUCACUGGAGGAGAUCCACCUGCUUGGAGAUGGCUCUCGGCAUGUCUGCCGCACAGGAAACACUGAAUGUCUCUCCCUGAGGUUUCUGUGAAGUGUCCUUAAAUUCCUCCCUUGCACUGAAACAGAUGGGGCUACAGCAUCGUCAGUGGGAGUAACCGCGUGCUUUAGAUCCAGGUCCGUCAGGAAAGGGACAAGCCGGAGAGCCCUGGCUGGGAACAAGCGAGAUUAGGGCAACGGACCGAGAGACCACCC